ACUCAAAUGAAUUGACGGGGGCCCGCACAAGCAGUGGAGCAUGUGGUUUAAUUCGAUGCAACGCGAAGAACCUUACCUAGACUUGACAUGUAGAGGACACUGGCAGAAAUGUCAUCUCCCGAAAGGGUCUCUACACAGGUGCUGCAUGGCUGUCGUCAGCUCGUGCCGUGAGGUGUUGGGUUAAGUCCCGCAACGAGCGCAACCCUUAUCAUUAGUUGCCAACACUUAGGGUGGGAACUCUAAUGAGACUGCCUGGGUUAACCAGGAGGAAGGUGAGGAUGACGUCAAGUCAGCAUGGCCCUUAUGUCUAGGGCCACACACGUGCUACAAUGGCCGGUACAGAAGGCAGCGAAGCCGUAAGGUGGAGCAAAUCCCUAAAGCCGGUCUCAGUUCAGAUUGUAGUCUGCAACUCGACUACAUGAAGUUGGAAUUGCUAGUAAUGGCGCGUCAGCCACAGCGCCGUGAAUACGUUCCCGGGCCUUGUACACACCGCCCGU
This 497-nucleotide ribosomal RNA is filed under the name uncultured bacterium. Its description in RNAcentral is "partial 16S ribosomal RNA". It matches the Rfam family "Bacterial small subunit ribosomal RNA", at positions 899 to 1397 of the family's 1533-position model. The record is from RNAcentral.